Molecule: ribosomal RNA, 253 nt
Filed under: uncultured bacterium
Lineage: Bacteria
Description: partial 16S ribosomal RNA
Rfam family: Bacterial small subunit ribosomal RNA
Source: RNAcentral
GACGUAGGUGGCGAACGUUAUCCGGAAUUACUGGGCGUAAAGGGUCCGUAGGCGGCACAGCAAGCCUGGCGUGAAAGGGUGCGGCUUACCUGCACGAGGGCGUUGGGGACUGCUGAGCUAGAAUCCGGUCGAGGUCGGCGGAAUUCCCGGUGUAGUGGUGGAAUGCGUAGAGAUCGGGAGGAACCUCGCGGGCGUAAGCAGCCGACUAGGGCGAGAUUGACGCUGAGGGACGAAAGCGUGGGGAGCGAACAGG